This 974-nucleotide long non-coding RNA is filed under the name Pan troglodytes (chimpanzee). RNAcentral's name for it is "lincRNA". Lineage: Eukaryota; Metazoa; Chordata; Mammalia; Primates; Hominidae. The record is from RNAcentral.
GAGAGUUCUGGCGAGGGCUGCGGGAAGGAAAGGGGGCGGCGUCCUUCACAGGGAGGGUGCAGCUGACCUCCCUCCCCUUGUGCAGACUGGAAGAGAAUGGCCCAGAUCCUCUGGACUCCUCAGAUGAGCGGAUUCAGAGAGAAGCUUUUGAGAGCGUGCUGGCAGAGACAUUUUUCACAAAAGAGCCCUUGCGGUGCUGGUGUCCAUGGCGUGCCUGGGUGGAAAACGAGCUUAUAUAUGAAGAAGUCAGCGAGUGGACAAAGCCAGGCGCAAUGGAUAGCAAAGAUGUGGAAGUCUCCUCGAUUCAAGUUAGAAGAAAACCACAGCAUGGAGUCUGCUCUCAGCUGUUGGGGAAUUACUGAUGCCUUUGACUAAGUCAAGACUGACUUUUCCAGAAUAUCACCCAAGAGAUAAAGCCGUCCCUGUCCAAGUUUGUGCGCUAGCCCUUCAUGGAGGUCAGAGAGGAAGAAACAAAGGCAGCUGUGGCCUUGGCGGUCACAGUGUCAGAACGCACAAGCCCCAUAAAGAGGUUUCACGCAGGCCACCCAUCCCUUUUCAUUCUCCAGCAGAACAGGACAGAGAGCGUUCUGUUCUGCGGAAGGUCUUCCACUCUACAAGGCAAUCCCUCCAGCUGCUUUGCUGUAUUGUGCUGUCUCCUGUCACACUGAAUGCAGUGACCUCAGCCAGCAGCAGGGAGAACCCCCCUGCCUCCCGAACAAAGGACCUCACGUGAAAUCCUGAGCUCAGAGCUUACAGAUAUGUGUGUGCUUUCACUUUACAUCGGCCGUGACUUUCAAACAACUUCAGGAAACUUUAGGAUCUCUGAGGUACACUGGAGAUUACAGCAGCGUAGAAUGUUCUUUUGGAUUUAGAACAGAAAUGCUUAUUUUAUAUUUGGCUGCUCCCAAACUGUCCCCAGACCUCCUCUCCAGUGGUUACCCUCCACUGCCCUGGAUGUCCCACAUUCACACUCA